UACGGAGGGUGCGAGCGUUGUCCGGAAUCACUGGGCGUAAAGGGCUCGUAGGCGGUCUGUUGCGUCAGGAGUGAAAACUCGGGGCUUAACCCCGAGCCUGCUUCUGAUACGGGCAGACUAGAGGUAUGCAGGGGAGAACGGAAUUCCUGGUGUAGCGGUGAAAUGCGCAGAUAUCAGGAGGAACACCGGUGGCGAAGGCGGGACUCUGGGCCGAUACUGACGCUGAGGAGCGAAAGCGUGGGGAGCGAACAGG
This 253-nucleotide ribosomal RNA is filed under the name uncultured bacterium. RNAcentral describes it as "partial 16S ribosomal RNA". It matches the Rfam family "Bacterial small subunit ribosomal RNA", at positions 524 to 776 of the family's 1533-position model. The record is from RNAcentral.